This 518-nucleotide ribosomal RNA is filed under the name uncultured bacterium. RNAcentral's name for it is "bacterial SSU rRNA". It matches the Rfam family "Bacterial small subunit ribosomal RNA", at positions 29 to 518 of the family's 1533-position model. The record is from RNAcentral.
ACGAACGCUGGCGGCGUGCCGUAAUACAUGCAAGUCGAACGGUCUUUCUUAAAGGAGCUUGCUUCCACUGAGAAGAUAGUGGCGAACGGGUGAGUAACACGUGGGUAACCUGCCCAUAAGAGGGGGGAUAACAUCCGGAAACGGGUGCUAAUACCGCAUAGUUUCUUGAUCGCAUGAUCGGAAAGGAAAGACGGCCUUUGUGCUGUCGCUUAUGGAUGGACCCGCGGCGUAUUAGUUAGUUGGUGAGGUAACGGCUCACCAAGACGAUGAUACGUAGCCGACCUGAGAGGGUGAUCGGCCACAUUGGGACUGAGACACGGCCCAAACUCCUACGGGAGGCAGCAGUAGGGAAUCUUCCGCAAUGGACGAAAGUCUGACGGAGCAACGCCGCGUGAGUGAAGAAAAGGUUUUCGGAUCGUAAAACUCUGUUGUCAGAGAAGAACAAGUUGGAGAGUAACUGCUCCAGCCUUGACGGUAUCUGACCAGAAAGCCACGGCUAACUACGUGCCAGCAGCGGC